This 749-nucleotide ribosomal RNA is filed under the name uncultured bacterium. RNAcentral's name for it is "bacterial SSU rRNA". It matches the Rfam family "Bacterial small subunit ribosomal RNA", at positions 33 to 777 of the family's 1533-position model. The record is from RNAcentral.
ACGCUGGCGGCAGGCCUAACACAUGCAAGUCGAGCGGUAGAGAGAAGCUUGCUUCUCUUGAGAGCGGCGGACGGGUGAGUAAUGCCUAGGAAUCUGCCUGGUAGUGGGGGAUAACGUUCGGAAACGGACGCUAAUACCGCAUACGUCCUACGGGAGAAAGCAGGGGACCUUCGGGCCUUGCGCUAUCAGAUGAGCCUAGGUCGGAUUAGCUAGUUGGUGAGGUAAUGGCUCACCAAGGCGACGAUCCGUAACUGGUCUGAGAGGAUGAUCAGUCACACUGGAACUGAGACACGGUCCAGACUCCUACGGGAGGCAGCAGUGGGGAAUAUUGGACAAUGGGCGAAAGCCUGAUCCAGCCAUGCCGCGUGUGUGAAGAAGGUCUUCGGAUUGUAAAGCACUUUAAGUUGGGAGGAAGGGCAGUUACCUAAUACGUGAUUGUUUUGACGUUACCGACAGAAUAAGCACCGGCUAACUCUGUGCCAGCAGCCGCGGUAAUACAGAGGGUGCAAGCGUUAAUCGGAAUUACUGGGCGUAAAGCGCGCGUAGGUGGUUUGUUAAGUUGGAUGUGAAAUCCCCGGGCUCAACCUGGGAACUGCAUUCAAAACUGACUGACUAGAGUAUGGUAGAGGGUGGUGGAAUUUCCUGUGUAGCGGUGAAAUGCGUAGAUAUAGGAAGGAACACCAGUGGCGAAGGCGACCACCUGGACUGAUACUGACACUGAGGUGCGAAAGCGUGGGGAGCAAACAGGA